UCCGGUUUGUCACCGGCAGUCCCAUUAGAGUGCUCAACUGAAUGUAGCAACUAAUGGCAAGGGUUGCGCUCGUUGCGGGACUUAACCCAACAUCUCACGACACGAGCUGACGACAGCCAUGCAGCACCUGUGUGUAGGUCCCGUAAGGGAAGGAAUCCAUCUCUGGUGUCCGCGAUCGGGAUGUCAAGGGUUGGUAAGGUUCUGCGCGUUGCUUCGAAUUAAGCCACAUACUCCACCGCUUGUGCAGGCCCCCGUCAAUUUCUUUGAGUUUUAAUCUUGCGACCGUACUUCCCAGGCGGCUUGCUUAACGCGUUAGCUCCGCCACAAGAGGGGUCGAUUCCUCUUACAGCAAGCAAGCACCGUUUAGGGCUAGGACUAC
RNAcentral lists this unclassified non-coding RNA (379 nucleotides) under uncultured bacterium. RNAcentral's name for it is "contains 16S-23S intergenic spacer region". The record is from RNAcentral.